RNAcentral lists this non-coding RNA (39 nucleotides) under Trypanosoma brucei brucei. Lineage: Eukaryota; Euglenozoa; Kinetoplastea; Trypanosomatida; Trypanosomatidae. The record is from RNAcentral.
UUAUAAUACUGAAGGGGAGCAAUUCCCCGCAACUCGUAU